CAGAGGACCACAUCCAGCAUCCAUACCUACAGUCCAAGAAAUAGGUCAAUGGACUCCACACACACACACACAAAGAGAAAUUAUGAGCGUGGGUUUGAUGCCAGCGGUAUCUAGGCUGCGAGCGGAGAGCUGGACGCAGAGCUCAUCGACUUUAUACUUUGAGGACAUGAUCUUGGGUUUUUAUAUAUAUAUUCUGAGAGA
This 201-nucleotide long non-coding RNA is filed under the name Elaeis guineensis (African oil palm). RNAcentral's name for it is "long non-coding RNA (EGUI_LNC014116)". Lineage: Eukaryota; Viridiplantae; Streptophyta; Magnoliopsida; Arecales; Arecaceae. The record is from RNAcentral.